RNAcentral lists this ribosomal RNA (253 nucleotides) under uncultured bacterium. RNAcentral describes it as "partial 16S ribosomal RNA". It matches the Rfam family "Bacterial small subunit ribosomal RNA", at positions 524 to 776 of the family's 1533-position model. The record is from RNAcentral.
UACGGAGGAUCCAAGCGUUAUCCGGAUUUAUUGGGUUUAAAGGGUGCGUAGGUGGGUUAUUAAGUCAGUGGUGAAAGCCUGCAGCUUAACUGCAGAAUUGCCAUUGAUACUGAUAGUCUUGAGUAUAGUUGAGGUGGGCGGAAUGUGUCAUGUAGCGGUGAAAUGCUUAGAUAUGACACAGAACACCGAUUGCGUAGGCAGCUCGCUAAACUAUAACUGACACUGAGGCACGAAAGCGUGGGGAGCAAACAGG